This 503-nucleotide ribosomal RNA is filed under the name uncultured bacterium. Its description in RNAcentral is "partial 16S ribosomal RNA". It matches the Rfam family "Bacterial small subunit ribosomal RNA", at positions 30 to 523 of the family's 1533-position model. The record is from RNAcentral.
AUUGAACGCUGGCGGCAGGCUUAACACAUGCAAGUCGAGCGGGGUGAUGGUGCUUGCACUAUCACUUAGCGGCGGACGGGUGAGUAAUGCUUAGGAAUCUGCCUAUUAGUGGGGGACAACAUCUCGAAAGGGAUGCUAAUACCGCAUACGUCCUACGGGGGAAAGCAGGGGAUCACUUGUGACCUUGCGCUAAUAGAUGAGCCUAAGUCGGAUUAGCUAGUUGGUGGGGUAAAGGCCUACCAAGGCGACGAUCUGUAGCGGGUCUGAGAGGAUGAGCCGCCACACUGGGACUGAGACACGGCCCAGACUCCUACGGGAGGCAGCAGUGGGGAAUAUUGGACAAUGGGGGGAACCCUGAUCCAGCCAUGCCGCGUGUGUGAAGAAGGCUUUAUGGUUGUAAAGCACUUUAAGCGAGGAGGAGGCUCUUUUGGUUAAUACCCAGAAUGAGAGGACGUUACUCGCAGAAUAAGCACCGGCUAACUCUGUGCCAGCCGCCGCGGUAA